AUUUUUAGGUGUUACUAUAAAUUCUGAUUAAAACUGAGCUUGUCAUUAUACAUAAAAGGAGGACAAAAUCUGUACCACGAUCUUUGAAAUGCUGAUUUGGUCACAAAUGAUGAGAUGGACAAAUCAGUCACUGUGAUAUAACUAAAUGUAUUUAGUAAUUUUGGAUUUGCAGGAAGGUGACCUAACUCCUUCUUCAGUAUGAAAGAGGGAUGUCUUAUUCUCCUUCACUUUGUCCAUCCCACAAAUGCUAAAGCUUCCUUUUUAUAGGCAAAAGGGGAACUGAUAUCACUUCCUGUUCUCCUCUCUGUGUGCAAAUGGAUGAAUACAUGACGGCUGAGCUUCAUCAAAGUUUUCACACAUUUUCCUCUCAGGCUGACCCACAUCAAGACAAAUUUCAGGGUGUCUUCAUUUGGAUGAAAUAGGUAAAAAAAAAAGGUUUGUUGGGAAGGUGUACACAGUGAGGACAUGAAAGCUGUGGUUGGACUGCUGCUAAUGCUGCUCAAAGUCUCUCAAGGUGUGGAGACUCAGUGUGACGGCAGACAGGAUGGAGCUCAGUGUUAUGGAGCUGUGGGAGGAACUGUGGCCCUCCAGCUGAUGGACAGCGCUGUAGGACUAUUUAGAUACAGCUGGAAAUUCAACAACACAAAAACAAUAUUCACUAGGAGAAAGAAUACUCCGGUUAAUCUGACAGACGACAGAUACUCCUUCACUCCCAGCAAUGGAACAUUUAGGAUGAAUAACCUGAGAAGGAGUGAUGGUGGUGAAUAUACUCUGAACAUAUUUGAUUCCAAUGGUACGAACACAGAGAAGCGAACUCUACAGUUGGUCGUUCAAGCUCCUGUGUCCUCUGUCCGGCUGGUCUCUGAGUGUCUGUCUCAGGGAGAGAUGAGGGUGUCCUGCCUCUCUGAAGGAGGGGACAGUCCUCAGUACAGCUGGACUCUGGAUGGACACACACUGACAGAUGCUGAGCUUCUCACUGGACAUAAUGAAACUAACAACAUCACUCUGAAACAGCAUGUUUCAGGACGUCUGGCCUGCUCAGUCAGGAAUCAUGUCAGUGAUGUCCUGAAACAGCAGAUGAUAUCUACAUGUGGCUUCACCUUCAUUAACUGCACCUCUGAUGGGAAACACAUUUCACAGUGGGUGUUUGCAGCUAAUAACACACUGUGUAUUGAGCCGACAACAGCGUCUAUAACAUCCCCGGAGUCUUCCACUAUGGGUAAGGAGACUGGAUUAACAGAGUCAAGUACUUUCACAGCCUUCAAUCAAACUAUGCCUAACACCAGGAGCAAUCUUCAAUGGUAUAUUAUGAUGGCUGGAGUGCUGGGAGCACUGGUAUUUUUCUUAGUGGUUGGGACAACCGCUGUUGUGUGCAUUCAGAAAAAGAAGAAAACCAACUUACCUAAAGAGGAAACAGAUGAGCAGGAAUUGACCUAUGCAGAUGUCCGGAUCCUGCAGCGGCAGGGGUUGCAGGUGAAACAGAGAGAAGAGGUGGAGGUAGAGUACGGCCAAGUCAAGUUCUCAGAGCGACCUCAGCAGAUUGCCGAUGAUGACUCUGUGUAUGCUAAGGUCCGUAAAAACAGGUGAUUCGAAGGGUUCAGUGUUCUUCCAGAGACUGCACUGGGGGGAUUGUGCUUUCACUUAACAUGAUUUCCUGUUGGGAGAGUAGAGCUCAUGAAAGGCUCACAUACACUGGGGCUUCUUUAGUUCCACUGAGUCAUCAAAUCAUUCAGUAUAAAGUGGCCUUUCAUCUUAACAUGUCCAUGCCGUCAUUAGGCGGUGACAUGGAAGAACAAUAAGAAUCACACUGAGUAGUUUUUCUUAUUGUUUAAUUUUAAAAAAUGUAGCUUUUCUUUGUGUUUUCACCUUUCACUCUCAUCUGGAAACAUAUUUAUGUGUAUUUCAUUAUCAAACAAUGUAAACGUUAAACAAUAAUAGUUGAAAUUAAAAGAAUAAAUUAGGUCUCAAUAAUGUGUUUCAUUUUGUUAUCAGUAAUUGGCAGACAUUAAUGAGCAUGCACACCAACAUCUGCAUUGUUACCUAGGCCUGAUUUGAAAUGGAAACUUUACAUCAGAGUUGUAAAGGAGUUGUAUUUGUGACGCAAAUGUACAUGGAUUAUUCUCAGUAUAUUUAUAAAACCCCGGUAGAGUCUGCAUUGCAAAAAAUGAAUAUAUUAACAGUUUAAUAUUAGACUCCACUUUGCUGCCUUCACUUAACUGUCUGUCUCACUUUAAGUUUGUGGCAGAAUGUUUCUUAAUGGAAAUUCAUGGUAAGCAAGUAUUGCUUUCCAUUACGUGAAAACUUCUGCUUUUUAUCUCAACCUUGAAUCUCUUACUUGUGCAAAAUACAUCAGUUGCAGAGUGUCAUCGGACCAUCUGCGACAGUUGAAGGUGACGCAUCCCUUCAAUUGUAUAAACCACCAGAAUUAUGUGUUAUUUGAAUCAUGCUGCUUUUAGAAAUUUGGAGGUAGACUAAAAAUUAAAUGAAUAUUUUUGUUUCCAUUACAGUUAGUUACUAAUCAGUGAGAUAACAGCAGAGGAAAAGGUUGUGCUGAGCAGAUGUAGUAUCAGAGGAAAUAGACAACUCUUCUGAGAGCAUGACAUGCUUAUCAUAUGAUAUCAUCAAACUGCAUUAACUAUUAAUUAAGUCAGUGCCACUGUAUGUUUAAAGACAUCUAACAAAUCGCAAUUUGUGAUAGUGACAAGAUAAAAAACUUCAUAGUGUAAUAACUUCCUUUUUUCAACUUUGUGGUUUCCAUUUAAGAGUAAAUCAGAAAGUGUAAGGACCAACUUUCAAUGUUGAGACAUUAUUAAUAUUCAUGCAAAUGAUUUGAAGCUUAUUAAAAAAGCUGUUCUGAUGUUUUAUAUUCCACUGUUGUCAACAAUUCUCAACUCCUAUAAAUGUUCGUGCUAUAAGAUAUUCACCCAGUUGGUGUUAAACGAAAUGAUGGAAAACUGAAAGUCCGAUUAAAAAAGACUGAUAUGUAAUUUUUAGCUUUUUUAUUUAGUGAUAAACACAUUCACGGUGCACGUUCGGUCAGCUGGUACAGGAGGAUUUCCAUAUUCUACCACUUUCAGGACUCAAAGAUUUUACUGUGUGAACACGUGACACAUCAAAACUUUGAACCUUGACUGUGCAGAGGCUGAUAACUAUAUUUUCCUCUGCAUAGUUCCCUUCCUGAAAGCAGCGCUUUAAUGUGCAUGUGCAUUCCUGUUUUGCGUUUGAUUUCAGCAGACCGGUUGUUACGGCUUGAAACAAAAACCGACCUUAUCUAUAGUGACCCCCCCCUGUACUGACACAUGGGUAAGAGCUCGCUUGUAAUUGGCUCUGCUGGUAUUAGUGUCGAGGGCCAUAACUUUAGGUCUGGUUAUUUGAAUUAUGUUCUGUUGUACGCUCCUGCUACUUCUGCCACAUGCUUUUUCGAUGCUCUCUGGUUUGAUAUCUCAGUGAAGUUUUGGUGAUUGAUUAAUGUGGUUCAAAUAAAGAUAGCUUACAUGUUUGGUUUGGUUUUAUAGUGUGGGGUUAAAGGUCGACAACUGUGGACUACUAUUCAGCUGAUUCACAUUGCCAUAAAAUUGGUGUUUAUGGUUCAUGAUAGCUGCAGUGUCCUUAAAUAACCACCUGAGAUCUGUUUUAGAUGAGGCCUUUGAUUGAAACAGUCGAACAUCUGACUGACAUAAUCUGCUGAGCAAAUGAUUAACAACAUGGAGUAUCUUUUUGCCUUUUCAUUAGUCAGUUCCACUUUGUAUAAUGCAUAAUGAUUUAGGCUUCAACAGUUUCGUAUAUAUGACAGUGUAGUAUUAUUUUAACUGCUUAGUUUUUAAUAUGUAUGUGUCACAGCAGAUAUCGGAGUGUUGUGUCGGAGCUCCCGAUAGUUUUGGUUUAAACGACAAAUGUAUUUUUCUCUAAUAAAAACCAAGAGGUUUUAUCAAUGUUGUGACACAUUCAUGUGAUGUUACCUCACCGUGCCAAGCCAUUAAAGUAUAAAACGUUGACUUUUGAGUGAUGCUAGUUCUUUAGUUUUGUCAGUCUUUGAUUGCUGGUAUGCCUCUGGUGACCCACUUAGAAUGUAAUUUUAUAAUUCAAUUUGACAGCAAAGUAUUGCUACUGCUGAAAAGGGAGCAAAUUCUGACCUUCAAUUUUAGAUCCUGUAGUAGUAUAUAUAUUAAAAUUCAAAAUAAGGUACAGUUUAAAUGAUUAUUUUAUCAACACCCCCGAAUUAACGCCUGUCUUGUGGGAGUUCACCAGUCUUCAGUCCUUUGCCACUGACUGAAUAAAUGUUCCUCUUUUCUUCUUCUCCACUCUUUUUCUUUCUUUUGUCAGUUGUUUUAAUGUACUGUAGCAUAUUAAUGCAUUUUAUUGUUUAUAAGUCACUGUUUUCGCUGCUUUGACUGUGACUGUUAUUGCUAAAUGUCAAAAGAGGGAAAUUCUUCUCAGCACACAAGUUGCACAAGAUUUCUGCUACAGUUCUUUAUUUGGAAAACAAUUUCUGCAAUCCUUGGUGACUCAUUGGCAUUACAUUUACAUUGCUACAUUUGUCCUUUGUCAUUUGUCUAUCCAUUUCUUAAGUGACUUACGAACAGGUAAAUACAUAUAGAGUACCAGUUGAAAAUCUGGACACACUUUUCUCUUCAUUCGAAGGGGAAAGUGUGUCUAAACUUUUGAUUGGUACUGUACGUGUGUGUUAGUAUAGUUCUCUCUGAGGCGCCUGAUGAAGCUUAAUGUCUAUGUUUAGCAACACAAUGACCAUAGAUGCGGUUAAAAAGCAGACAGCUGUUACUCGGGAUGUGUCUAAACACCACAGUGUGACUGACUGAGACCACAUGCACUUGCAAACUAAUUUCCUUUUAGGUCUUUGUUUUUACACCAAACCUGCAACUUCACAUGCUGUGAAAACGAUUCAUACUAUGGUUUAUGCUCAUCUAAAAAUAAAUGUCCUUUCUGUUUGAUACUGAAAUCUGCUGCUUUGACUUUGCAUUUUUAACAGCUGCUUUCACCCGUAACAUUGCGCAAAGUAUCGUUGACUUGUUUCCUAAAUUUGUGACAAUGCUGUUUUUAAGUUAAAUUGUCGAAAGAAAGAAAAUUGUUAUUGGGUUGUUGAACUCAGUGUAAGCUUUUUUUUUAUUAUUAUUAGCAAACAAGAUGAAGAUGGCUGUUAAUUUUCCCAUGAAUUCAUUUUAUUUCCCGAAAAUUCAAGCAGUUUUUGAUA
Echeneis naucrates (live sharksucker) is the source of this 5209-nucleotide long non-coding RNA. NCBI's taxonomy places the organism in Eukaryota, Metazoa, Chordata, Actinopteri, Carangiformes, Echeneidae. The record is from Ensembl.